CAGGAAGAAGCUCACCUGUGUGUCCGUGUUUAGUGUGAAGUGGAGCUUGUUUUCGCUGUGUGUGUUUGAAAAAACUGUGGAGUCCUGCCUCCUUCCAGGACCUAACCUGUGUGUCCGUGUUUAGUGUCCAGGUGUGGAGUGGAGCUUGUAGUUGGGGUGUGUUUGGAGAAAUUGUGAAGGUGGAAAGUUUGUGUGAGCUGAUGUGAAAUGAGCAGCAUGGAUCAGUGUGAGGACAG
Molecule: long non-coding RNA, 236 nt
Organism: Oreochromis aureus
Lineage: Eukaryota; Metazoa; Chordata; Actinopteri; Cichliformes; Cichlidae
Exons: 3
Source: RefSeq, a predicted model, not a curated record